GACGACCUCAGAGCAGGCGAGACUACCCGCUGAAUUUAAGCAUAUUACUAAGCGGAGGAAAAGAAACUAACAAGGAUUUCCUUAGUAGCGGCGAGCGAACAGGAAUUAGCCCAGCACUGAAUCCCGCGGUUCUGCCGUUGGGAAAUGUAGUGUUCGGGAGGGUUCGUUUUAUCCCGCGGCGUCGGACCGCGUCCAAGUCCAUCUUGAAUGGGGCCAUUUACCCGUAGAGGGUGCCUGGCCCGUAGAGACCGGGACGCGCCGUGGGUGAACCUCUCCUUAGAGUCGGGUUGCUUGAGAGUGCAGCUCUAAGUUGGUGGUAAACUCCAUCUAAGGCUAAAUAUG
This 342-nucleotide ribosomal RNA is filed under the name Ooencyrtus pityocampae. Its description in RNAcentral is "eukaryotic LSU rRNA". It matches the Rfam family "Eukaryotic large subunit ribosomal RNA", at positions 1 to 324 of the family's 3401-position model. Lineage: Eukaryota; Metazoa; Arthropoda; Insecta; Hymenoptera; Encyrtidae. The record is from RNAcentral.